CCUACGGGCGGCAGCAGUGGGGAAUAUUGCACAAUGGGGGAAACCCUGAUGCAGCGACGCCGCGUGAGUGAAGAAGUAUCUCGGUACGUAAAGCUCUAUCAGCAGGGAAGAAAAUGACGGUACCUGACUAAGAAGCCCCGGCUAACUACGUGCCAGCAGCCGCGGUAAUACGUAGGGGGCAAGCGUUAUCCGGAUUUACUGGGUGUAAAGGGAGAGUAGACGGCAGCACAAGUCUGGAGUGAAAUCCCGGGGCUUAACCCCGGAACUGCGUUGGAAACUUUGCGGCUGGAGUGAAGGAGGGGGAAGCGGAAUUCCUAGUGUAGCGGUGAAAUGCGUAGAUAUUAGGAGGAACACCGGUGGCGAAGGCGGCUUACUGGACUGUAACUGACGUUGAGGCUCGAAAGCGUGGGGAGCAAACAGGAUUAGAUACCCGGGUAGUC
Molecule: ribosomal RNA, 440 nt
Filed under: uncultured bacterium
Lineage: Bacteria
Description: partial 16S ribosomal RNA
Rfam family: Bacterial small subunit ribosomal RNA
Source: RNAcentral